Molecule: long non-coding RNA, 829 nt
Organism: Pseudophryne corroboree (corroboree frog)
Lineage: Eukaryota; Metazoa; Chordata; Amphibia; Anura; Myobatrachidae
Exons: 6
Source: RefSeq, a predicted model, not a curated record
UUUCCCUUUAUAAAGGAGAAGUGAGGCUCAGUGUCUCAUUACACAGAUGCUGAGCCACCUUUGCAGAUCCAUUGAGGGUUCCCCUGCUAAGUGAUUUUUUUCCUCUGAACCUGAGCAUCUGAAUUUUCAUAUGCAAAUUGUCAGACUACAAGGCUUGACUGAUUGUCCAAUUGAAAGUCCCAGUGGCAUAUAGGGUCUUUAAUCAAGCACUCACGAAUGAUUUGUUGAGUUGUGGUUCCAUACAUUAUUCAUACUUACCAUUCAGCUGAGAUGUACCCCUGAUGAAGUCUUGGGGAAAAAAAAGACGAAACGCGUUGGUUGUCUUUUUCUGAAGUUAUUUUACGAAUCAAUAUUAAGGAAAAAGAGGAAAUUACAGAAAAUUACCUGCAUUUGACUGAGCCUGUGGCAGGAGAAUGGACACCCCGAGGAAGACCCCACAGAUAAAGGAAAGCACAAAUUGAUGGCGACAACAAGUUUAUUGUGCAGGAGGUUGCUGGUCACCGCUGUAAAGCCAAUCGAGAUUAAGAGUGGUACACCAAAAGUUCUCACAAGUGCCACGGGGAUGUGAUGAAGACAGGUCCGAAAACAAACCAAACUUAUUUUACAGCAAUAUUUGGCAACUGUCCAGUGAGGGUGCCAAUAGUGCAAUGUUUGCGGCGAUCUUACAAACAAGAAAAUAUUUGGACAGCUUAACAACAACGUCUUGGAAGUGUCCAUCAUGAAUACACAACAUUGGAUUACAGUAUGCUUUCCUUCUGCUGACUAAAACUACAAAGUCUACUGUAAAAGUUAUGAUGAAAAGGAAUUAUCUUGUCAUACUGAAAACUAC